GACGUAGGGCGCGAGCGUUGUCCGGAUUUAUUGGGCGUAAAGAGCUCGUAGGCGGCUUGUCGCGUCGUCCGUGAAAACCAGGGGCUCAACCCCUGGCUUGCGGUCGAUACGGGCAGGCUAGAGUUCGGUAGGGGAGACUGGAAUUCCUGGUGUAGCGGUGAAAUGCGCAGAUAUCAGGAGGAACACCGGUGGCGAAGGCGGCUAUCUGGACAGAGUCUGACGCUGAGGCGCGAAAGCUAGGGGAGCAAACAGG
Molecule: ribosomal RNA, 253 nt
Filed under: uncultured bacterium
Lineage: Bacteria
Description: partial 16S ribosomal RNA
Rfam family: Bacterial small subunit ribosomal RNA
Source: RNAcentral